This 426-nucleotide long non-coding RNA is filed under the name Phoenix dactylifera (date palm). Its description in RNAcentral is "long non-coding RNA (PDAC_LNC014603)". Lineage: Eukaryota; Viridiplantae; Streptophyta; Magnoliopsida; Arecales; Arecaceae. The record is from RNAcentral.
AUAUACUUAAUUAUGAAUUGAGUAAUGAUAUAGAUCCUAGACUUUAAAUGUGAUUUGAAUGUCUAAGACAUUGCAUAAUUCAUGAGGUAAUGGGUUAGCUAAAACAAAUCCAAUUGAGUUGGACUCAAUGGUUGAAAUCAAACUUGGUAGAGUAGUUGAUCUAAUCUAAUUAAAGUUGUUUCUUAGAUUGGUUCAAGAUUACUCUUGAUCUUUGCAAUAGUUGUAGUUGAUCAAGUCCAUGUCUUUGAUUAGACCAAAUGGAUGUUGAUUUAGGCUUCGUGGUUGAACUUGAGUUAUGAUAUUGAUCGAAUUGAAAUUGAUAAACCAGCUGGUGUCAAAGGCAAUUGUAAUCAGUAGGUUUUUAAUUAGGAGCUACUUGCUAGGUUUCGGUCCAGUCAAGUUAAUGGCAUACCCUUCCGCUGAUCU